GACUUUUAUUUUGAAAAACCACCAUUUUCACAGCACGUCUUGCGCAAACAUCGAUGUUAUGAUCUUGACUUGUAGGAUCAAAAAUAAAAAGACAAAAUGACCAAUCCACUCAGGGGAGAGGUGUUCAGAUUGUACAAAAAUCUUCUCUACUUGGGACGGGACUAUCCAAAAGGCGCUCUGUACUUCAGGGAGCGUCUGAAAACAGCUUUCAUGAAGAACAAAGAUGUCACAGAUCCAGAGAAAAUCAAAAAGCUGAUUGACCGUGGCGAGUUUGUGAUUAAAGAACUUGAGGCACUUUAUUUCCUCAGGAAAUACAGAGCAAUAAAGAAACGCUACUAUGAACCAGAGCACUAAUCUCUGUUGCAGUGCAUGUGCCAAACUGUAUAUGUGCACAGAAUCAAAAGUUACAUUACUUUCAGUGGAUGCAUUAUGCUGGUCCAGAGGAACGUUCCUCCCACCGUGAUGGUCCAGAACGUGUGUCUCCUCAGAGGGUUGGAAUCAAAGCUGAGAGAGGUUGGGUGGAGUCACUGAUAAUAGUGGAGAUCCCACCCUGUAACAGCACUGAUUGGACGAUGACAGCCAAGAGCCUGUCCAACAUGAUGCCCACCUGGAACACAUCUGCCCAGACCACUGCUAUAAGACCACCCUGCCUGGGAAAAGGGAUAAAUAUCUUAUAAUGUCCAGUAUAUGGCCAGUAUACAUAAAUCAUUAUUGAUUUUAUACUGUAUGUUCAAUUAACAGUGAAGUGUCCAAAUACUUUUUGGGACAACUGUAUAUAAAUUUACAUAUGUCUAUUAUUUUGCAGUAUUGAUAAUGUUAAGGGACCUAACUGACCAUUGUUCCCACAAUUUGUUCCUUGUGUUUUAGUGUACUUACUAAUGUACAGUAGAGUGUGCAGACCACUCCGGUUGACAUGACAGCACCCCAGAGAUCUAUACCUGUGACUGAGAGGUGGACAAAUAGAAGAGUAUUCACCACAUAGUGGACUAUCAAGAACACUCAAUGCACCAUGCACUUAAAUAGAGAUGGAAUGCCAGACAAAUGCAGUUCAAUUUCAGGAAACAAAGCAAAGACUUCUGGCUCAAUAAUAAGGUUAAAUAAGGAUAAAGUUGGUUAUUGGAUACUUGCUUGUGUUUAUUACAGAACCUGUACAAAUUCCUACCUUGGUUUAAAGUCAAAGCUGGAGCAUAAAUGAUCAGACCUGUGAAAAGUACCUGAAAAAUGGGAAAAAUUCACUUCAUCCCUCUAUUAAUUCGCUGUGUGAUUUGAUGAGACGCAUUCAAACUACACGGAUACUUUUGCAAAAGAUGUGUACAGUACUCACUGUAUAAUAAACAGGACUGUUCCAAAUAGUCUAAUUACUUUUUUGUAGCAUAUUUCCCAAUACUGUAAGGAUAACCAGAAGAGAAAGUUUUCGAAAGAAGUUGCAGCUGCAUUUAAUAAUAAUGAAUGCAUUAUAGAAAUAAUAUAACACCUUGAAUUUAUAGUAUUCUACCUUUAGUUGCCCUCUCUGCUUGUCUAUAUUACACUUUAAAAAAAUGGUUUAUGUUAUAACUGCUAAAUGAAUUGUUUUUUUUUUUCAAAUAAAAGAAUAUAAUUUAACUGAAUCAACCUGAAUACAUUUUAAUUUUAGCCUAUUUUUAAGAUUUACGCAUUUCAAUUUCAUAACAAAAUUCCAUCACACUCAGUUGUGUCAUAUUAAA
RNA transcript from Myxocyprinus asiaticus (Chinese sucker), 1703 nucleotides. It is a transcript of the gene named LYR motif containing 5a, with no coding region annotated. The transcript is spliced from 5 exons. The record is from RefSeq and is a predicted model, not a curated record. Lineage: Eukaryota; Metazoa; Chordata; Actinopteri; Cypriniformes; Catostomidae.